GUACUUACAGGACAAUGAGAUAGCAGAGCUACCAGCUGGACUCUUUAGUAACAACAGGAAGUUGACUGAACUGUACUUAAAUGGAAAUCAAAUCAAGAAGCUACCAGCUGGAGUCUUCAAUAACGACUCCGAAUUGACUGAACUGUCCUUACAUGACAAUCAGAUAGCAGAGCUAGCACCCGGAGCCUUCCAUACCAACUUCAAGUUGAUAAAUCUGUAAGUUA
Stylophora pistillata is the source of this 224-nucleotide long non-coding RNA. The record is from RefSeq and is a predicted model, not a curated record. NCBI's taxonomy places the organism in Eukaryota, Metazoa, Cnidaria, Anthozoa, Scleractinia, Pocilloporidae.